RNAcentral lists this ribosomal RNA (468 nucleotides) under uncultured bacterium. Its description in RNAcentral is "partial 16S ribosomal RNA". It matches the Rfam family "Bacterial small subunit ribosomal RNA", at positions 28 to 507 of the family's 1533-position model. The record is from RNAcentral.
GACGAACGCUGGCGGCGUGCUUAACACAUGCAAGUCGAACGGAAAGGCCCUGCUUUUGUGGGGUGCUCGAGUGGCGAACGGGUGAGUAACACGUGAGUAACCUGCCCUUGACUUUGGGAUAACUUCAGGAAACUGGGGCUAAUACCGGAUAGGAGCUCCUGCUGCAUGGUGGGGGUUGGAAAGUUUCGGCGGUUGGGGAUGGACUCGCGGCUUAUCAGCUUGUUGGUGGGGUAGUGGCUUACCAAGGCUUUGACGGGUAGCCGGCCUGAGAGGGUGACCAGCGACAUUGGGACUGAGAUACGGCCCAGACUCCUACGGGAGGCAGCAGUGGGGAAUAUUGCACAAUGGGCGGAAGCCUGAUGCAGCAACGCCGCGUGCGGGAUGACGGCCUUCGGGUUGUAAACCGCUUUCGCCUGUGACGAAGCGUGAGUGACGGUAAUGGGUAAAGAAGCACCGGCUAACUACGUG